CCCUUAGAUGUUCGGGGCCGCACGCGCGCUACACUGAAGGAAUCAGCACGUCUUUCUCCUUGUCCGAAAGGACUGGGUAACCCGCUGAACCUCCUUCGUGCUAGGGAUUGGGGCUUGUAAUUCUUCCCCAUGAACGAGGAAUUCCCAGUAAGCGCGAGUCAUAAGCUCGCGUUGAUUACGUCCCUGCCCUUUGUACACACCGCCCGUCGCUACUACCGAUUGGAUGGUUUAGUGAGAUCCUCGGAUUGGUCCCGGAGCGGCCUCUGGUCGUGCCGGAGUGCCGAAAAGAAUGUCGAACUUGAUCAUUUAGAGGAAGUAAAAGUCGUAACA
This 330-nucleotide ribosomal RNA is filed under the name uncultured eukaryote. RNAcentral describes it as "partial 18S ribosomal RNA". It matches the Rfam family "Eukaryotic small subunit ribosomal RNA", at positions 1470 to 1796 of the family's 1831-position model. The record is from RNAcentral.